RNAcentral lists this ribosomal RNA (727 nucleotides) under uncultured bacterium. Its description in RNAcentral is "bacterial SSU rRNA". It matches the Rfam family "Bacterial small subunit ribosomal RNA", at positions 60 to 747 of the family's 1533-position model. The record is from RNAcentral.
AGUCGAGCGAGUCUGCCUUGAAGAUCGGAGUGCUUGCACUCUGUGAAACAAGAUACAGGCUAGCGGCGGACGGGUGAGUAACACGUGGGUAACCUGCCCAAGAGAUCGGGAUAACACCUGGAAACAGAUGCUAAUACCGGAUAACAACAGAUGAUGCCUAUCAACUGUUUAAAAGAUGGUUCUGCUAUCACUCUUGGAUGGACCUGCGGUGCAUUAGCUAGUUGGUAGGGUAACGGCCUACCAAGGCGAUGAUGCAUAGCCGAGUUGAGAGACUGAUCGGCCACAUUGGGACUGAGACACGGCCCAAACUCCUACGGGAGGCAGCAGUAGGGAAUCUUCCACAACGGACGCAAGUCUGAUGGAGCAACGCCGCGUGAGUGAAGAAGGGUUUCGGCUCGUAAAGCUCUGUUGUUGGUGAAGAAGGACAGGGGUAGUAACUGACCUUUGUUUGACGGUAAUCAAUUAGAAAGUCACGGCUAACUACGUGCCAGCAGCCGCGGUAAUACGUAGGUGGCAAGCGUUGUCCGGAUUUAUUGGGCGUAAAGCGAGUGCAGGCGGCUCGAUAAGUCUGAUGUGGAAGCCUUCGGCUCAACCGGAGAAUUGCAUCAGAAACUGUCGAGCUUGAGUACAGAAGAGGAGAGUGGAACUCCAUGUGUAGCGGUGAAAUGCGUAGAUAUAUGGAAGAACACCGGUGGCGAAGGCGGCUCUCUGGUCUGUUACUGACGCU